GGUUGUGAAUUUAAACAGAGACUGGCCUGUCUCCAGCCACAAUCAGCUGAGCAGGUGCAGGCAUGGAUUAGGCAGAGAGCUGGAGUUUUGCCAAGCAAGGAAGACAAGGUGAGAGAGGGCCCAUGGAGUGAAGGGUCUAACCAAGGGAGCAAUUAUCAUGAUGAACUACGAAGGCUGAGCUGUUACAGAAGAGCGAUGACACGAUGGGGCUGUGGGACCUUGAAAAGGUGGCGGAUCAACAGAUCGAGGUUCCCUGGGCUGGCAAAGGAUUGCUGGAGUCAUGGUACCAGAGGAAGUGAGCUGGCGUGAGAGGAGGUGGAGGCCAGAGAGUGAAAUUCUUAACUUGGAGACUGUAGCCACCGUGUCCUGAGUCCUCAAAUCCAAUUUACAGAAAGGCCUUUGACUAACAGAGGGCAGGCUAAUAAAAAUGUUACUGUAUUCCUGGAAGUUAAUGAAUAAUAAAACCACAUGCCUGGAAGCAACUUCAAGAGGUCCUAGUUCAGAUGAUUUUACAUUCUCCCACCAAUUCUGAACAUCUUGGGGAAGAAAAUGCCACCACCCAGUGUUAUCGUGAUGGAAACACCCCUUUGACACCCACUACUGGGACUGCACUGCGUCAGACCUGAAGCCAUUACAGCACUGGGCCUUGCACAGGGCCCUUUGGUUGAGGGUGGCAACCUCCUCCAGUUCCUGCAUGUGUCCAGAUGCUACACUAAGAAAAUAAGACAUUAAAACAACAACAAUGCUUUUCCAAACAACCGCAAUAAAAUUUUCUUUAUUUAUUUCA
Cercocebus atys (sooty mangabey) is the source of this 787-nucleotide long non-coding RNA. RefSeq lists it as uncharacterized. The transcript is spliced from 3 exons. NCBI's taxonomy places the organism in Eukaryota, Metazoa, Chordata, Mammalia, Primates, Cercopithecidae. The record is from RefSeq and is a predicted model, not a curated record.